GACGAACGCUGGCGGCGUGCUUAACACAUGCAAGUCGAACGGAAAGGCCCUGCUUUUGUGGGGUGCUCGAGUGGCGAACGGGUGAGUAACACGUGAGUAACCUGCCCUUGACUUUGGGAUAACUUCAGGAAACUGGGGCUAAUACCGGAUAGGAGCUCCUGCUGCAUGGUGGGGGUUGGAAAGUUUCGGCGGUUGGGGAUGGACUCGCGGCUUAUCAGCUUGUUGGUGGGGUAGUGGCUUACCAAGGCUUUGACGGGUAGCCGGCCUGAGAGGGUGACCGGCCACAUUGGGACUGAGAUACGGCCCAGACUCCUACGGGAGGCAGCAGUGGGGAAUAUUGCACAAUGGGCGGAAGCCGGAUGCAGCAACGCCGCGUGCGGGAUGACGGCCUUCGGGUUGUAAACCGCUUUCGCCUGUGACGAAGCGUGAGUGACGGUAAUGGGGAAAGAAGCACCGGCUAACUACGU
Molecule: ribosomal RNA, 467 nt
Filed under: uncultured bacterium
Lineage: Bacteria
Description: partial 16S ribosomal RNA
Rfam family: Bacterial small subunit ribosomal RNA
Source: RNAcentral